This 113-nucleotide ribosomal RNA is filed under the name Verrucomicrobiales bacterium. RNAcentral describes it as "partial 16S ribosomal RNA". It matches the Rfam family "Bacterial small subunit ribosomal RNA", at positions 597 to 708 of the family's 1533-position model. Lineage: Bacteria; Pseudomonadati; Verrucomicrobiota; Verrucomicrobiia; Verrucomicrobiales. The record is from RNAcentral.
AAAGGCUACAGCUCAACUGUAGUAGUGGUGGCGAUACUGCUUAGCUAAGAACAUGGGAGGGGUACUUGGAAUGUGUGGUGUAGCGGUGAAAUGCGUAGAUAUCACACAUAACA